Lemur catta (Ring-tailed lemur) is the source of this 100-nucleotide small nucleolar RNA. RefSeq annotates it as small nucleolar RNA U13. The transcript has a single exon. The record is from RefSeq and is a predicted model, not a curated record. Lineage: Eukaryota; Metazoa; Chordata; Mammalia; Primates; Lemuridae.
ACCCUUUUGUAGUUCAUAAGCGUAAUGAUUGGGUUGUGCUCAUCUGUGACACGUGCCUCUCUCAAACCUUGUUUGAUGCAAGCACAUUACCUGUUGGAAA